CCUGAACUAGGGGUCUGGAGAC
Molecule: microRNA, 22 nt
Filed under: Mus musculus (house mouse)
Lineage: Eukaryota; Metazoa; Chordata; Mammalia; Rodentia; Muridae
Description: mmu-miR-345-3p
Gene: mmu-miR-345-3p
Source: miRBase by way of RNAcentral